Molecule: ribosomal RNA, 643 nt
Filed under: uncultured bacterium
Lineage: Bacteria
Description: bacterial SSU rRNA
Rfam family: Bacterial small subunit ribosomal RNA
Source: RNAcentral
UUUUCGCGCCCCCUAUCAGCUUGUUGGUGGGGUGAUGGCCUACCAAGGCGUCGACGGGUAGCCGGCCUGAGAGGGCGACCGGCCACACUGGGACUGAGACACGGCCCAGACUCCUGCGGGAGGCAGCAGUGGGGAAUAUUGCGCAAUGGGCGAAAGCCUGACGCAGCGACGCCGCGUGAGGGAUGACGGCCUUCGGGUUGUAAACCUCUUUCAGCGGGGACCAAGCCUUUCGGGGUGAGUGUACCCGCAGAAGAAGCACCGGCUAACUACGUGCCAGCAGCCGCGGUAAUACGUAGGGUGCUAGCGUUGUCCGGAUUUAUUGGGCGUAAAGGGCUCGUAGGCGGUCUGUCGCGUCGGGUGUGAAAUCCUACCGCUCAACGGUGGGCUUGCAUCCGGUACGGGCAGGCUGGAGUGUGGCAGGGGAGACUGGAAUUCCUGGUGUAGCGGUGGAAUGCGCAGAUAUCAGGAGGAACACCGGUGGCGAAGGCGGGUCUCUGGGCCAUUACUGACGCUGAGGAGCGAAAGCGUGGGGAGCGAACAGGAUUAGAUACCCUGGUAGUCCACGCUGUAAACGUUGGGCGCUAGGUGUGGGGACUGUUUCCACGGUCUCCGUGCCGCAGCUAACGCAUUAAGCGCCCCGCCU